This is a long non-coding RNA of Ornithodoros turicata, 559 nucleotides long. RefSeq lists it as uncharacterized. The record is from RefSeq and is a predicted model, not a curated record. NCBI's taxonomy places the organism in Eukaryota, Metazoa, Arthropoda, Arachnida, Ixodida, Argasidae. The transcript has 7 exons.
UCUGGUUUGCUCUCCACUAUGUGCUGAAUCUUGUAUAUGCCCAAGAAAGUCAAGCAUUGCUGGAGUUCCUGCAGAGGACAUUUCUCGGGAUAAACCCUGACCGGGGUUCAAGAGCAGAGAAGAGGCAGCGCACGCCUGUCAAUAAAAAGGUGCUGCGACUCGUCGACAAGCUGUCGCACUUUGAGUGGCAUGUUUAACACUUGUUUUUUCCACUGUUCCAUCAGCGACUGGGCGAACAUAGGGCACAUGGCCACUCUUAUGCUGCGUUUUUUGAAGUUUUUUUCACUGUUCCAUCAGCGAGUGGGCGAACAUAGGGCACAUGGCCACUCUUAUGCUCCGUUUUUUGAAGUUUUUUCCACUGUUCCAUCAGCGACUGGGCGAACAUAGGGCACAUGGCCACUCUUAUGCUGCGUUUUUUGAAGUUUUUUCCACUGUUCCAUCAGCGACUGGGCGAACAUAGGGCACAUGGCCACUCUUAUGCUGCGUUUUUUGAAGUUUUUUCCACCUUUUCCAUCAGCGACUGGGCGAACAUAGGGCACAUGGCCACUCUUAUGCUGCG